GUGAACGUUACCAAACUGUUGCCUCGGCGGGAUCUCUGCCCCGGGUGCGUCGCAGCCCCGGACCAAGGCGCCCGCCGGAGGACCAACCAAAACUCUUAUUGUAUACCCCCUCGCGGGUUUUUUUAUAAUCUGAGCCUUCUCGGCGCCUCUCGUAGGCGUUUCGAAAAUGAAUCAAAACUUUCAACAACGGAUCUCUUGGUUCUGGCAUCGAUGAAGAACGCAGCGAAAUGCGAUAAGUAAUGUGAAUUGCAGAAUUCAGUGAAUCAUCGAAUCUUUGAACGCACAUUGCGCCCGCCAGUAUUCUGGCGGGCAUGCCUGUCCGAGCGUCAUUUCAACCCUCGAACCCCUCCGGGGGGUCGGCGUUGGGGAUCGGCCCUCCCUUAGCGGGUGGCCGUCUCCGAAAUACAGUGGCGGUCUCGCCGCAGCCUCUCCUGCGCAGUAGUUUGCACACUCGCAUCGGGAGCGCGGCGCGUCCACAGCCGUUAAACACCCAACUUCUGAAAUGUUGACCUCGGAUCAGGUAGGAAUACCCGCUGAACUUAAGCAUAUCAAUAAGCGGA
RNAcentral lists this ribosomal RNA (560 nucleotides) under Trichoderma harzianum. RNAcentral describes it as "eukaryotic LSU rRNA". The stretch from base 176 to 329 matches the Rfam family "5.8S ribosomal RNA". Lineage: Eukaryota; Fungi; Ascomycota; Sordariomycetes; Hypocreales; Hypocreaceae. The record is from RNAcentral.